GGGGAUGUAGCUCAGUUGGUAGAGCGCCAGCUUUGCAAGUUGGAUGUCGUCGGUUCGAGACCGUCCAUCUCCA
Molecule: transfer RNA, 73 nt
Rfam family: tRNA
About the family: Transfer RNA (tRNA) molecules are approximately 80 nucleotides in length. Their secondary structure includes four short double-helical elements and three loops (D, anti-codon, and T loops).